UAAUAGCCCUGAUAGUAGUGGAAAUCCUUUAAUUGUUGUCUGAGGCUGUCACACUGAGCUUGUCGAAGUGCCGAAGACGAUAAUUAAAGAUUGUAACGAAUAGCGGGAAAUAGC
This 114-nucleotide small RNA is filed under the name Flavobacterium terrigena. RNAcentral's name for it is "Flavo-1 RNA". It matches the Rfam family "Flavo-1 RNA". Lineage: Bacteria; Pseudomonadati; Bacteroidota; Flavobacteriia; Flavobacteriales; Flavobacteriaceae. The record is from RNAcentral.